GAUGAACGCUGGCGGCGUGCCUAAUACAUGCAAGUCGAGCGAACAGAUCAGGAGCUUGCUCCUUUGACGUUAGCGGCGGACGGGUGAGUAACACGUGGGUAACCUACCUAUAAGACUGGGAUAACUUCGGGAAACCGGAGCUAAUACCGGAUAAUAUUUCGAACCGCAUGGUUCGAUAGUUAAAGAUGGUUUUUCUAUCACUUAUAGAUGGCCCCGCGCCGUAUUAGCUAGUUGGUAAGGUAACGGCUUACCCAGGCGACGAUACGUAGCCGACCUGAGAGGGUGAUCGGCCACACUGGAACUGAGACACGGUCCAGACUCCUACGGGAGGCAGCAGUAGGGAAUCUUCCGCAAUGGGCGAAAGCCUGACGUGGCAACGCCGCGUGAGGGAUGAAGGUCCUCGGAUCGUAAAACGCUGUUAUUAGGGAAGAACAUAAGUGUAAGUAACUGUGCACGUCUUGACGGUACCUAAUCAGAAAGCCACGGCUAACUACGUG
RNAcentral lists this ribosomal RNA (497 nucleotides) under uncultured bacterium. RNAcentral's name for it is "partial 16S ribosomal RNA". It matches the Rfam family "Bacterial small subunit ribosomal RNA", at positions 28 to 507 of the family's 1533-position model. The record is from RNAcentral.